CAUGACUGUAGCAAUACAGUUGAUGGCGACCGGCAAACGGGUGCGGAACACGUACACAACCUUCCUUUUAGUGGAGAAUAGCCCAGGGAAACUUGGAUUAAUACUCCGUAACAUAUAGAAGUGGCAUCACUUUUAUAUUAUAGCAGCAAUGCGCUAGAAGAUGGGUGUGCGGCUGAUUAGAUAGUUGGCGGGGUAACGGCCCACCAAGUCGACGAUCAGUAACUGGUGUGAGAGCACGACCAGUCACACGGGCACUGAGACACGGGCCCGACUCCUACGGGAGGCAGCAGUAAGGAAUAUUGGUCAAUGGACGCAAGUCUGAACCAGCCAUGCCGCGUGGAGGAUGAAGGUCCUCUGGAUUGUAAACUUCUUUUAUUUGGGAAGAAACCCAUCUUUUCUAAGAUGGUUGACGGUACCAGAUGAAUAAGCACCGGCUAACUCCGUGCCAGCAGCCGCGGUAAUACGGAGGGUGCAAGCGUUAUCCGGAUUCACUGGGUUUAAAGGGUGCGUAGGUGGGCAAGUAAGUCAGUGGUGAAAUCUCCGGGCUUAACCCGGAAACUGCCAUUGAUACUAUUUGUCUUGAAUACUGUGGAGGUCAGCGGAAUAUGUCAUGUAGCGGUGAAAUGCUUAGAUAUGACAUAGAACACCAAUUGCGAAGGCAGCUGGCUACACAAAUAUUGACACUGAGGCACGAAAGCGUGGGGAUCAAACAGGAUUAGAUACCCUGGUAGUCCACGCCCUAAACUAUGGAUACUCGACAUUUGCGAUAAACUGCAAGUGUCUGAGCGAAAGCAUUAAGUAUCCCACCUGGGAAGUACGAUCGCAAGAUUG
Molecule: ribosomal RNA, 831 nt
Filed under: uncultured Flavobacteriaceae bacterium
Lineage: Bacteria; Pseudomonadati; Bacteroidota; Flavobacteriia; Flavobacteriales; Flavobacteriaceae
Description: bacterial SSU rRNA
Rfam family: Bacterial small subunit ribosomal RNA
Source: RNAcentral